UGCGACCUAAGGUCAGGCGG
This 20-nucleotide ribosomal RNA is filed under the name Bassia laniflora. Its description in RNAcentral is "partial 28S ribosomal RNA". Lineage: Eukaryota; Viridiplantae; Streptophyta; Magnoliopsida; Caryophyllales; Amaranthaceae. The record is from RNAcentral.